This 343-nucleotide ribosomal RNA is filed under the name Ammothea glacialis. RNAcentral's name for it is "partial 12S ribosomal RNA". The record is from RNAcentral. Lineage: Eukaryota; Metazoa; Arthropoda; Pycnogonida; Pantopoda; Ammotheidae.
AGUUAAGGUCUUUAAAUUUAAAGAAUUUGGCGGUAAAUUAAUUUGACUAGAGGAAUUUGUUUAUUAAUAGAUAAUACACAAUUUAUCUUUCUUUAUUUAUUAUUAAUAAUAAUUUAUAUAUCGUCGUUUAGAGUAUUUUUAUAGAAUUAAUUUUCUUUAAUUAUAAUUAAUUAAAAAUCAGAUCAAGAUGUAGUUUAUAGUGAAGAAUAAAAUGGGUUACAUUUUUGAUAAAAAAUUAUGAAUAAUUUUUUGUAAUUUAAAUUUGAAGGAGGAUUUAGAAGUAAUUAAAUAUUAAUAUGAUUUUAUGAAUAUUUAUUAUACUAAUUUAUGUACACAUCGCCCG